RNAcentral lists this transfer RNA (67 nucleotides) under Marmota monax (woodchuck). It matches the Rfam family "tRNA". From Rfam's summary of the family: Transfer RNA (tRNA) molecules are approximately 80 nucleotides in length. Their secondary structure includes four short double-helical elements and three loops (D, anti-codon, and T loops). Lineage: Eukaryota; Metazoa; Chordata; Mammalia; Rodentia; Sciuridae. The record is from Rfam by way of RNAcentral. RNAcentral also lists the same sequence under 1 other name.
GGUUGUGGCUUAGUGGUAGAGCGUUCGCCUAGCAUGUGUGAGGUACUGGGUUCGAUCCCCAGCACCA